RNAcentral lists this ribosomal RNA (1406 nucleotides) under Escherichia coli. RNAcentral describes it as "partial 23S ribosomal RNA". It matches the Rfam family "Bacterial large subunit ribosomal RNA", at positions 33 to 1483 of the family's 2925-position model. Lineage: Bacteria; Pseudomonadati; Pseudomonadota; Gammaproteobacteria; Enterobacterales; Enterobacteriaceae. The record is from RNAcentral.
CUGGCAGUCAGAGGCGAUGAAGGACGUGCUAAUCUGCGAUAAGCGUCGGUAAGGUGAUAUGAACCGUUAUAACCGGCGAUUUCCGAAUGGGGAAACCCAGUGUGUUUCGACACACUAUCAUUAACUGAAUCCAUAGGUUAAUGAGGCGAACCGGGGGAACUGAAACAUCUAAGUACCCCGAGGAAAAGAAAUCAACCGAGAUUCCCCCAGUAGCGGCGAGCGAACGGGGAGCAGCCCAGAGCCUGAAUCAGUAUGUGUGUUAGUGGAAGCGUCUGGAAAGGCGCGCGAUACAGGGUGACAGCCCCGUACACAAAAAUGCACAUGCUGUGAGCUCGAUGAGUAGGGCGGGACACGUGGUAUCCUGUCUGAAUAUGGGGGGACCAUCCUCCAAGGCUAAAUACUCCUGACUGACCGAUAGUGAACCAGUACCGUGAGGGAAAGGCGAAAAGAACCCCGGCGAGGGGAGUGAAAAAGAACCUGAAACCGUGUACGUACAAGCAGUGGGAGCACGCUUAGGCGUGUGACUGCGUACCUUUUGUAUAAUGGGUCAGCGACUUAUAUUCUGUAGCAAGGUUAACCGAAUAGGGGAGCCGAAGGGAAACCGAGUCUUAACUGGGCGUUAAGUUGCAGGGUAUAGACCCGAAACCCGGUGAUCUAGCCAUGGGCAGGUUGAAGGUUGGGUAACACUAACUGGAGGACCGAACCGACUAAUGUUGAAAAAUUAGCGGAUGACUUGUGGCUGGGGGUGAAAGGCCAAUCAAACCGGGAGAUAGCUGGUUCUCCCCGAAAGCUAUUUAGGUAGCGCCUCGUGAAUUCAUCUCCGGGGGUAGAGCACUGUUUCGGCAAGGGGGUCAUCCCGACUUACCAACCCGAUGCAAACUGCGAAUACCGGAGAAUGUUAUCACGGGAGACACACGGCGGGUGCUAACGUCCGUCGUGAAGAGGGAAACAACCCAGACCGCCAGCUAAGGUCCCAAAGUCAUGGUUAAGUGGGAAACGAUGUGGGAAGGCCCAGACAGCCAGGAUGUUGGCUUAGAAGCAGCCAUCAUUUAAAGAAAGCGUAAUAGCUCACUGGUCGAGUCGGCCUGCGCGGAAGAUGUAACGGGGCUAAACCAUGCACCGAAGCUGCGGCAGCGACGCUGAUGCGUUGUUGGGUAGGGGAGCGUUCUGUAAGCCUGUGAAGGUGUGCUGUGAGGCAUGCUGGAGGUAUCAGAAGUGCGAAUGCUGACAUAAGUAACGAUAAAGCGGGUGAAAAGCCCGCUCGCCGGAAGACCAAGGGUUCCUGUCCAACGUUAAUCGGGGCAGGGUGAGUCGACCCCUAAGGCGAGGCCGAAAGGCGUAGUCGAUGGGAAACAGGUUAAUAUUCCUGUACUUGGUGUUACUGCGAAGGGGGGACGGAGAAGGCU